AGGAUGCAUGCUGUUAGGGCUAGGGGAGGAUCAGCCAAAGGUCUGGUGUUGCUGGGCACAAUGCAGACUGGGGAGCCUGGAGACAGCAGAGAUGCCUGGACUGCAGCAAUGGGAACCAUGGGUCCUUGAAGAAAGUUUAGGGAAGAAAAAGGGCUAUUGGAGCAAGCUUCAUGGCUGUCACCCCUACCAUCUCCUGGGACCCCAAGCCUUUAUUAUGCUCAUCCUGAGAUAAGUGCAGACCAGAGAGAGGGACCCACAUGACAUUGCUGCCUCUACUGCCUAGAGCUGAAUCCCAAACACCACCCAGGAUUGGACUUUAAUAACUGCAGCAGCUCCAGGUCAUCUCAGCUAACCUUUUUCUCCAAAAGGACAGUUACCAUCUUAGAUACUAUCUACUAGACUGUCAAACAAGGCUGCUUUUCCUUCUAAAAACUCUCUCCAGCAAAAGGAACAAGGGAUGUUAAAAUGAAAUCUUUUAAUAUUUGACACUUCAAAUGUUUUAACUGUUUUCCCCUUUCUUUAUCUUUAUUAAAAGGCUAAAGAUUU
Long non-coding RNA from Malaclemys terrapin pileata, 546 nucleotides. RefSeq lists it as uncharacterized. NCBI's taxonomy places the organism in Eukaryota, Metazoa, Chordata, Testudines, Emydidae. The transcript is spliced from 2 exons. The record is from RefSeq and is a predicted model, not a curated record.